RNAcentral lists this long non-coding RNA (1123 nucleotides) under Brassica rapa (field mustard). RNAcentral's name for it is "long non-coding RNA (BRAP_LNC003015)". The record is from RNAcentral. Lineage: Eukaryota; Viridiplantae; Streptophyta; Magnoliopsida; Brassicales; Brassicaceae.
ACCAACUCUCACAUUCAUUAAGCACAAAACAUCAGGUGAAUUCUUGCAAAUGGUCAGUUGGUCCAAGUCAUUUGGUUGGGUAAGGGAAGGCUUUUAUUCAAGUGAUUCAAGAGGUUCAAAACAUAUGAUCUUUAAGGUGGUUUACUCUCAAAACAAGUAGCCUUGACAUUGCACAUAAUAUAUCUAAGAAAGGGACCAACUCAUGCAUACAAUGCUCAAUCUCCAUUGUUCUACCCUUUUCCCAAACAUACAUUACACAAUCAUUCCCAAAUGUCAAACCCAACUCACAUCUCUCACCAAAAGAUCUUAAGAACUUUAACUCUUUCUUUUUGAAAUCUACAAGGGAUUUUUCUACAACCUCAAAACAUUUCUUAGCUCUUAACAACUUUGCUAGCCCCCUUUUUUCUUUUCUUUUUUUUUUUUUUUUUUUUUUCGAUUUCUUUUCUUUUUUUUUUUAUAAUUUUUUUUUUUAGGUUGGGGGCCAAGACUUUUCAAAACUAGAGCUAGAGGUUCUCUACUUAUCCCAGAAAAUCAAUUCACUUAAGCACAAAGAGUCUAUCCUUUUUAUUUUUCAUUUCUCCCAAAUCAUGAUCACAACACUCACCCUCCCACCUAUAGCUAGACAAAAGAGUGUCCAAUCUAGCAAAAAUGAAGAUCAAUCAUUGUCGUUCCCGAUACUCUCAACAUUAUGCGCAUGUAAGACUUUCCGAAGAAGGCCUCACUCAUCAAACAAUGAAAGCUUAAAAGGAAGGAAAGGUUUUGGGAGUGGUCUACCACUAGAGUUUGUCAAAAAAGAUUGGUAUAAAAGAUGUGACAACUCAAGUGUGUAUAGCCAUGACUCAGUACACAAGAGACCAUGAGCAAGAAGCAUUAAGUUCGUUCAGUUCAAAUAAGGUUGUAGUUGGCUUCAAAGACUGAGUUUCAGCAAUCAACAAGUUUCAGGAAGAGUUUUCAAGGCUCGAAACAUACAAGUCUUUUUGAGAGGUGCAAAAGCUAGUCAAGUGCAACGUAGUGUUCUUUACAAGGCAUUCAAAUCAUUGCUCCCAAUGCAAGUGAAUGCAACCUAUAUGCUCUAGACUCUCCUAAAAAUGCAAAUGAUGCAAACUAAAUGAUUGAUUUUUUU